Long non-coding RNA from Sinocyclocheilus rhinocerous, 86 nucleotides. RefSeq lists it as uncharacterized. The transcript has 3 exons. NCBI's taxonomy places the organism in Eukaryota, Metazoa, Chordata, Actinopteri, Cypriniformes, Cyprinidae. The record is from RefSeq and is a predicted model, not a curated record.
CCAUGGAAAGUUAACCUAUUAGUUCGUGUUUGCCGGCCCAAAAUUGGUCCAGAUCUUUUUAGCCAGAACUGAACCAAAACAGUGCC